This 484-nucleotide ribosomal RNA is filed under the name uncultured bacterium. RNAcentral describes it as "partial 16S ribosomal RNA". It matches the Rfam family "Bacterial small subunit ribosomal RNA", at positions 30 to 507 of the family's 1533-position model. The record is from RNAcentral.
AUUGAACGCUGGCGGCAGGCCUAACACAUGCAAGUCGAGCGGAUGAAGGGAGCUUGCUCCUGGAUUCAGCGGCGGACGGGUGAGUAAUGCCUAGGAAUCUGCCUGGUAGUGGGGGAUAACGUCCGGAAACGGGCGCUAAUACCGCAUACGUCCUGAGGGAGAAAGUGGGGGAUCUUUGGACCUCACGCUAUCAGAUGAGCCUAGGUCGGAUUAGCUAGUUGGUGGGGUAAAGGCCUACCAAGGCGACGAUCCGUAACUGCUCUGAGAGGAUGAUCAGUCACACUGGAACUGAGACACGGUCCAGACUCCUACGGGAGGCAGCAGUGGGGAAUAUUGGACAAUGGGCGAAAGCCUGAUCCAGCCAUGCCGCGUGUGUGAAGAAGGUCUUCGGAUUGUAAAGCACUUUAAGUUGGGAGGAAGGGCAGUAAGAGAAUACCUUGCUGUUUUGACGUUACCAACAGAAUAAGCACCGGCUAACUUCGUG